AUGAAUCUUCAUGAAACUUAAUCUUUAAUUUUUGAAUUGGUAUUCAUGAAAUGAUGAUUUAACUAAUUUUAAUAAUUAGUAGAUUAGCAAUUUUUCAAGAAAUGCCUGACACCAUUAUUUAUGAACUUCAACUGUUUUUUAAUUUUUCUAAUGGAAAAAACUUUUUUAAAGUUCAAUUUCGGUAAUAAGUUUACAGCUGUUGGUAUCCUAUUCAAUCUGACAUUGAGGAUACUAGUAUUUCUCCAUAAGUAAGCAAUGUGAUGUGCUUGGAACAUCAUCAAUAGAUCAAUGUACUAGCAAAAAGGUAAUGGUACAGAAUGUCCCAACUUGGUUGAAUUGAAGUUCCCUUGCACUAUCCUUUAGAUAAACGGCCAAUGUAGGAAUCAGUUUGUAAAGAGGUAGUAUAUAACACGCUUCGAUGUAUAAGCUUAUUGUCUUGGUGUGUGGUAGGCCUGCCCACAAAGCAACAGAGCACUCACUUCCAGUAAGCAUUAACCUCAUGUUUAUAAUUUUAUAUACUUUAAGUCGGCACUUCUACAUUUUGUUGCCUGCAAACAACAAUAUAACGAGUGCUUACGAUAUUCGUUUACAUUAUAUAUGCCAUUUGAUUACGAUCACAGUUAAUGUCUUGAAGUGGUGUAUAAAAGAUAAGAGUUGAGUUCGGAAAAUAACGUUUGAAAGAUAAAUGUGUAAUCAAACUAAAUUCUGUAACCUGGCCUUUGGAAAUUGCUUCUUCUUCUCCAGUAUUGCCAUCACACUCAGCAAAUUGAGUAGGAGUACUUGGGAUAUCAUCAGUACCACGGAGAGGCUUAAACAAGAGUGUCAGAUCACUACUCAACGCCAAGAGAUUGUUAAUUCGUCUCUCAUCAGUUUUCUGACGAAGAGAUACAAAACAGCUACCCUUACGUUACUAUACGAGUAUAUUGUAUAUUUUUAAUAAUUUAUUUCAUCACCAAUAAAUUUUAUCACUGAUGAUAAAUGUUUGGACAACUUAUCCUUCAACUAAAAUGUUUUACCUAGCCUGUCAAACUUAAUCUCAUAAUUUAAUUUGUAUAAGAGAUGGAAAUAUUCCAUGCAUGCAUCAUAGACAAACUGUUGAAAGAUGGAUAACAAUUUACUAUUUAGCAAGCAAAACUCAUCACAUGGUAUUUGUAUAUGUUAUAGCACAUUAGUUUGUGGGUUGUUGUGUUAAAAUUUUAGUAUGAUUGCUUUGUUUGAUUUAUUCUGUUGUUCUCUCAAUAUUUAUUGUAUUUUCUUCUAUAAGCUUUUGUGGUUUGCUUACCCUGACUACUGCUGAAACCUAUCUGAUUUGGCAUGUGGAUGGGGUUACGACAAUGAUGUUGCUCAGAGAACAAGGUCUGAUGCUUUUGCAGCUGCAGUUGCGAAACAUGCUAAGAAAUGGAAGUCUUCAGCUCCGUCAUAGCCCUAGAAUUACAAAACAAGCUUGAAUUCGAAGUUGAUAGAAAUAUUAGCGAAGCACAAUAGUGUACCAGAACUGCAUAAAAGUCCUAGCACGCUCGAAUUCGAAAUAAGCUGGCUAUGAGAAUGAAUGGAAAAGAAGAUGUCGCUACGAAUCCUAGAAAGAGCUGAAGGAAACUUCAUGACAAUACAUUAAAAGGCAGCUUUCCUUGAAAGAGAAGUGGAGCUGCUGAACCUUACCUACCUUCAUCAUUAUUCGUUUAUUAACAUUGUUGCUGAUCAGGAUUUUCAAAGCAUUAUGAUUGAUUCAUUAACCAAACAUAUAUUGGUGGAUUUGUUACUCAUUUGUAAGUUAUAUACUCUCUACCUUCGGAAGUUAUUUGCAUACCUGUCCAUGUUGAAACACA
Long non-coding RNA from Papaver somniferum (opium poppy), 1826 nucleotides. RefSeq lists it as uncharacterized. The record is from RefSeq and is a predicted model, not a curated record. The transcript has 2 exons. NCBI's taxonomy places the organism in Eukaryota, Viridiplantae, Streptophyta, Magnoliopsida, Ranunculales, Papaveraceae.